Molecule: ribosomal RNA, 1379 nt
Filed under: uncultured bacterium
Lineage: Bacteria
Description: bacterial SSU rRNA
Rfam family: Bacterial small subunit ribosomal RNA
Source: RNAcentral
GAGUUUGAUCCUGGCUCAGGACGAACGCUGGCGGCGUGCUUAACACAUGCAAGUCGAACGGAAAGGCCCCGCUCGCGGGGUACUCGAGUGGCGAACGGGUGAGUAACACGUGGGUGAUCUGCCCUGCACUUCGGGAUAAGCCUGGGAAACUGGGUCUAAUACCGGAUAUGACCUCCCUUUAGUGUGGGGGGUGGAAAGAUUUAUCGGUGCAGGAUGAGCCCGCGGCCUAUCAGCUUGUUGGUGGGGUAAUGGCCUACCAAGGCGUCGACGGGUAGCCGGCCUGAGAGGGUGGACGGCCACAUUGGGACUGAGAUACGGCCCAGACUCCUACGGGAGGCAGCAGUGGGGAAUAUUGCACAAUGGGCGGAAGCCUGAUGCAGCGACGCCGCGUGGGGGAUGACGGCCUUCGGGUUGUAAACCUCUUUCGACAGGGACGAAGUGAAAAUGACGGUACCUGUAUAAGAAGCACCGGCUAACUACGUGCCACCAGCCGCGGUAAUACGUAGGGUGCGAGCGUUGUCCGGAAUUACUGGGCGUAAAGAGCUCGUACGUGGUUUGUCACGUCGUCUGUGACAUUCCGGGGCUUAACCUCGGGCGUGCAGGCGAUACGGGCAAUACUUGAGUGCUGUACGGGAGACUGGAAUUCCUGGUUGUAGCGGUGAAAUGCCCAGAUAUCACGAGGAACACCAAUGGCGAGGGCAGGUCUCUGGGGCAGUUACUGACGUUGAAGAGCGAAGCAUGGGGUAGCGAACAGGAUUAGAUACCCUGGUAGUCCAUGCCGUAAACGGUGGGCGCUAGGUGUAGGGGACUUCCACCUUCUCUGUGCCGUAGCUAACGCAUUAAGCGCCCCGCCUGGGGAGUACGGCCGCAAGGCUAAAACUCAAAGGAAUUGACGGGGGCCCGCACAAGCGGCGGAGCAUGUGGAUUAAUUCGAUGCAACGCGAAGAACCUUACCUGGGCUUGACAUACACCGGACCGGCGUAGAGAUACGUCUUCCCUUGUGGCCGGUGUACAGGUGGUGCAUGGUUGUCGUCAGCUCGUGUCGUGAGAUGUUGGGUUAAGUCCCGCAACGAGCGCAACCCUUGUCUUAUGUUGCCAGCACGUGAUGGUGGGGACUCAUGAGAGACUGCCGGGGUCAACUCGGAGGAAGGUGGGGAUGACGUCAAAUCAUCAUGCCCCUUAUGUCCAGGGCUUCACACAUGCUACAAUGGUCGGUACAGCAGGUCGCGAACUCGUGAGAGUAAGCCAAUCCUUCAAAGCCGGCCUCAGUUCGGAUUGGGGUCUGCAACUCGACCCCAUGAAGUCGGAGUCGCUAGUAAUCGCAGAUCAGCAACGCUGCGGUGAAUACGUUCCNCGGGACCUUGUACACGACCGCCCGU